UGAGGAAUUUUGCGCAAUGGGGGAAACCCUGACGCAGCAACGCCGCGUGAGUGAAGAAGGCCCUCGGGUCGUAAAGCUCUGUCAAGUGGGAAGAACCCUUCGAAGGUUAACAGCCUUUGGAGCUGACGGUACCACUGAAGGAAGCACCGGCUAACUCCGUGCCAGCAGCCGCGGUAAUACGGAGGGUGCAAGCGUUAUUCGGAAUUACUGGGCGUAAAGGGCGCGCAGGCGGCCUGUUAAGUCAGCUGUGAAAGCCCGGGGCUCAACCCCGGAAGUGCGACUGAAACUGGCAGGCUUGAGUAUGGUAGAGGGAAGUGGAAUUCCUGGUGUAGCGGUGAAAUGCGUAGAUAUCAGGAGGAACACCAGUGGCGAAGGCGACUUCCUGGACCAAUACUGACGCUGAGGCGCGAAGGUGUGGGGAGCAAACA
RNAcentral lists this ribosomal RNA (428 nucleotides) under uncultured bacterium. RNAcentral describes it as "bacterial SSU rRNA". It matches the Rfam family "Bacterial small subunit ribosomal RNA", at positions 355 to 774 of the family's 1533-position model. The record is from RNAcentral.